GUUUUGAUUGCUCAAAUCUAAAACUAACUUUGAACAGUGUACUACGUUAAUUUAUCAUUGAGAUGUGCGUGUGUGUCACGUUUUAGCAUCGUUUCUUGUUCAUUACAAUGCCGGGGGUUCUUGGCUUUUUUGUCAUUACAUGUUUGAUAUGGACAGUAUCCAGCUGGUUAAGGUCAGGAGUUGAAAAACGCUUAAAUUUAGAAACGGGGAAAAACAAUUAAGGUUAGCUUUAGGAAAAUGUGUUUUGUUUGGUUUAUUUGGCAUGAUAUUACUGCAUCUUUAAACAAGCACAAGACAAAUGUAUGUCAAAUCAAAUGUAUGUAUGUUUUUUUUUUCCCAAGCAUUGAUGCAUCUCGAGAAGACAGAAGCCUUGGUAGACUUGUCAAUGAUGACCACCUUCAUCCAGACUGUAAAAUGAAAAGGAUGACGUCUGAAAUGAAACCACAUAUAUGUCUCUUUGCUUUGAGGGACAUACAUGCUGGAGAGGAAAUACCAUACACCUACAGAGGAACUAAUUGGCCAUGGAGGAAAAAGGAUGGAGCAGAGCCCCAACUUUCCACUGAGUUUCCUGAGACCGCCAUGUACACGAACCAAGACAAAGACUCAACGCGCUCCCAAAGCAUUUCCCAGGAUGCAGCAGAGCCCCAACUUUCCACUGAGUUUCCUGAGACCGCCAUGUUCACGAACCAAGACAAAGACUCAACGCGCUCCCAAAGCAUUUCCCAGGAUGCAGCAGAGCCCCAACUUUCCACUGAGUUUCCUGAGACCGCCAUGUUCACGAACCAAGACAAAGACUCAACGCGCUCCCAAAGCAUUUCCCAGUUCAUCCUUCAGUUUGUCAAUCAGUCAUCAAAAGAAAGUGGGAAGAAGAGGAAGUACAAGCAGUUGAGAGGCAUCUGACUUCCUUCAUAACCUCCCUUACUGUUCCAAGGAAACAAGACUGCGAGAAUUGUCUAUAACUUGAAAACGAAGCACUACAAUAUAGAGAUUGCGCUGCCAUAAAAUUUUAUGUGAAAAAUCGAAUCAGAGCCCUUAAAAAUAAACAUUAAGGCAAGGUUUUUUCUGAGAUGCUUUGGGCUAUGUGCACAGUGCCCCCAUGUUAUUUCAAAUUAGCGACGGUUUCCUAUCUUUUACAUUUACGAUUUGCAGAGUCUCACACAAAUGAAGAGAUGGCUCAAGAUUUUGUAAAGGACAGCGCAUAAAAGUUAGAAUGUGACUGGAGCAGGUUAAAAAAUGAUGUAAGAUGGAACGACUUCACUGGAGGAAACCUCCAGGUUCAUAACAGUGGGUGAUUUUGUCUUAAGGCUAACCACUAACACAAAAUAAUUUAAAAUUCAAUUAAAACUAGUGCAAAGUUUUGAACGAGUCUGCGCAAAACGGGAUCAAGUAGUUAGUUUUAAAUUUUAUUGAGUUGUUUACACAUUAUACUGUCAUUAUUGAACACUAGCCUUAAGAUCGUGAGAUAAAAGCUUCUCCCUUACGACCGGGGCAAGAUUCACAUCCAACAAGCUUGUAACAAGUUGCAGUGACCAUCAGUAACUCGCUGUCCUUUACAAAAUCUUGACCCAUCUCUUGAUUUGUGUGGGACCCUGCUAAUCGUGUAAGUAAAAGACGGGGGAGAAGGACAGUGUCGCUUUUUUCCAGCUGGAAAUCAUGUGGGGACAGUGUGCAGCCCAUUGAAACUUGGCUCAAUAAAUUUAGAUUUUGUUGCUGGAAAUAUAAGAAAUUUUUGUGAUUUUUAUGCUUAAAUUCCUUAAACUUGUAAUGCAUUUUUUCUCAUGUCCGUAAUCUACAGCAUACGUUUGAAAUUGAUAUCUCUACAUUCAAGUUGAUUACCUUUUUUUACUGCAGUCAUCAUACAGUCCCGAUCAAAAGUUUAAGACCUUUUGCAAAAUGGUAGAAAACAAAGAAAAUCACAUUUUGCAUGGUUAGAACUUAACAAGGUUCCAAGUAGAACUUCAAUAUGCAACAACAAGAAAUGGGAGUGAGACAAAAAAAAGAGUAAACCUUUAAUUUCCACUUGACUUUUUUUGUUCCAUAACCCUCAGUCAUAGAAUUCCUUAAAAGAUCCUUUCUUGCCGUUUCCCACCUCAGCAGUGAUGGCACGCAGCAAGAGACUGUGCUUAUGCAGCACAACCUGACCACGUUUAAACAUUGCUGUCAGGACGUCAUGAGUGUGAGUACCUGACUGAAAAUGACUUUGAAUGAACAUUUGCACAGAUUUGGUCUUUUAAAGGCAUGUGGUCCUAAACUUUUUAGCAGCUGCAAAACGGUCUUAAUUUAAUUGUUACUUCAUUUGUUGUUUUCAAUAAGAGUUAUUCUCAAUUUUUUUGGUUUGUGUCACUCAAAUUUCUUCUUGUGGAAGUUCUGAUUGGUAUCUUGAUCAGAUUCAACCAUGCAAAAUGUUGCCAUCUUUUAAUUAGAGUUAAACUUUUGAUUGGGCCUGUAUAGCAUAAAUCUCUUCUUCCCACUUUUUUUUCAAUGUGUUAAAAGCAGCGUUGGGACUACUCCAUUAAUGUUAUCCAACUACUGAUAAUAGAAAAGUCCUUCUACAAGUAGUCUUGUUACUUUGAUUACGUUAUUUCAAAAGGAAGGAAAGACUUCAUUUGGGACGAGGAUCGUCCAGUGUCUUGACGUGCAGCCAAUUGGAUCCUCAGUUUGGUGACAUUUUUUGGGGUCUUUCACUUGACUUUUUGUUCCAAAAGUCAUCUGAGGACUAAUUACUACUUUGGGUUUGCCCUUUUAAGUGUUUAAUAAGUUCAAUGUGAAGCGUUUCACAGGUAAAUAACUCUCAACCACAGUAUUCUAUAGAGGUACGCCAAUCAGAUCAGUCACUGAUCAUGGCCUGUUCAGCAGAUUUGUAAAAUAUGUUGAUCAAACGUGGAUUUCACAUACAUUCUUUCAAUCUAUAUUCUGGUGAAAAUUACGCAGCAUUGCACUGCUCUAAACCAUAAAUGUAUUUUUUAUUGUAAUUAGUGGUUACACAACAGCUCUGGAUGUACUGCUCUAAUUGCCGACUGUAUCCCUCCCCACCUGGCGGCUCUACUUGUGACAGCAGCGGUGUGUAGUGUAACUAAUCAAAACAACCAUGGCGCGAGAGUCUGCUAUGCUUAAGACAAAAGCAUAAUGAAGGUUCAUGACCAUAAAAUAGCCAUAUAUGGACAUAUAACUCAGACAUUAAUUAGUAAUAAUAACGGACUAUAAAAAUACUAUACAAUAAACUAUAAAUAAAGAUAAAUGAUUGAAGCACCUCUAUAAUGUAUACAACAAUUUCUUGAUAGAAGUUUUCAGCUGUCAAUUGUAAUGAGUUGUUACUUGGUUACAAUGGGAUGUUUUGUUUGUAAACAAAUAUAAUUAUCCCCAACUGUUCAAAAGUUAUGAUGUGAUUCUUUCAAUUCAAAUCAAAAUUGAAUAGUGAUUACCUUCUUUGUCUAUGACUAAGUAACAUUUUUGAGAGAGCAUUUUAAGAAGAGAUAUUUUUUCACAAUAAUACAGGCAGGGCAUUUGUGUUGAAUAGUUAUGAACGCUAUAAACUAUGUAUGGUUGGGCUUUAAAGUAUUUAAAAACCUAACUGUAUAUGAUUGGUCUUAAAAGUAUUUAAAAACCUGAAACUGUGUAUGCGUGGGCUUAAAGGUAUUCAAAAACCUGAGACUGUGUAUGAGUGGGCUUAAAAGUAUUCAAAAACCUGAGACUGUGUAUGAGUGGGCUUAAAAGUAUUCAAAAACCUGAGACUGUGUAUGAGUGGGCUUAAAAGUAUUCCAAAACCUGAGACUGUGUAUGAGUGGGCUUAAAAGUAUUCAAAAACGGUGAGUAAAAGUAUUCCAAAACCUGAGACUGUGUAUGAGUGGGCUUAAAAGUAUUCCAAAACCUGAGACUGUGUAUGAGUGGGCUUAAAAGUAUUCAAAAACCUGAGACUGUGUAUGAGUGGGCUUAAAAGUAUUCAAAAACCUGAGACUGUGUAUGAGUGGGCUUAAAAGUAUUCAAAAACCUGAGACUGUGUAUGAGUGGGCCUCACAAGUAUUUAAAAACCUGGAAGGUCCCCAGAAAUAUAGUAAAAGUCAGGUGUGGAAUUUUUUUUGUGUGUAUUGGGGUUUUGAGGUGAUAUUACCGUUUGUAAAUUCUAGGGGACUUUGCCUGAUUUUUUUGGAUGCUGUAGACCCUACAGAAAGGGUGGUUCCCACAAGUGACGAUUUAGUCAGGUGUCCCCACAAUUGAG
Long non-coding RNA from Neogobius melanostomus (round goby), 4216 nucleotides. Lineage: Eukaryota; Metazoa; Chordata; Actinopteri; Gobiiformes; Gobiidae. The record is from Ensembl.